This 1381-nucleotide ribosomal RNA is filed under the name metagenome. RNAcentral's name for it is "bacterial SSU rRNA". It matches the Rfam family "Archaeal small subunit ribosomal RNA". The record is from RNAcentral.
UCCAGUUGAUCCUGCUGGCGGCUGCGGCUCUCUGAUUUGCACUUAGGCAUGCAAGUCUGUUGAAAGACGGCGAACUGCUCAGUAACACGUAGCUAAUCUACCCUAUGGUCGGGAAUAUCCUCGGGAAACUGAGGGUAAAUCCUGAUAGGAGAUUUACCCUGGAAAGAUUUAUCUCUUAAAUUCGUGCCAUAGGAUGAGGCUGCGGCGGAUUAGGUUGUUGGCGGGGUAAUAGCCCACCAAGCCAGUGAUCCGUAGGGGCUCUUAGCGGAGAAGCCCCGAGAGGGAAUCUGAGACACUAUUCCCAGCCCUACGGGGUGCAGCAGCUAGGAAUCUUUUACAAUGCACGCAAGUGUGAUAAAUUGAGUUGGAGUGCCUUCCAUUGGAAGGCUUUUGCCAAAUGUAAAUAGUUUGGCGAAUAAGGACUGGGUAAGACUAGUGCCAGCCGCCGCGGUAAUACUAGCGGUCCAAGUCGCAGCCAUUUUUAUUGGGUCUAAAACAUCCGUAGCUUGUUUAGCAAGUUCUCUGUGAAAUCUUGUCUCUCAAAGACAGGGCGUGCAGAGAAUACUAUUAAACUAGAGACUGGAAGACGUAACGAGUACGUUUGGAGUAGCGGUUAAAUGUGUUAAUCCCAAACGGACUAACAAUAGUGAAGGCACGUUACGAGGACAGUUCUGACAGUAAGGGAUGAAGGCUAGGGGCGCAAAUGGGAUUAGAUACCCCAGUAGUCCUAGCAGUAAACACUGCGCACUAAACAUCAGUACCUCUUCGAGAGGUAUUGGUGCUGAAGGGAAGCCGAAGAGUGCGCUACCUGGGAAGUAUAGCCGCAAGGCCGAAACUUAAAGGAAUUGGCGGGGAGACACUACAACGGGUGACGCGUGCGGUUCAAUUAGAUUAUACACCGUGAAUCUCACCAGGAGCGACAGCAGAAUGAAGGUCAGUCUAAAGGGCUUACCUGACACGCUGAGAGGAGUUGCAUGGCCGACGUAAGCCUGUGUCGUGAGAUGACCUGUUAAAUCAGGUAACAGGCAAGACCCACAUGUAUAUUUACUACGUGUACAAUAUACAGAUCGCCUUGGUAACAAGGAUGAAAGUGUGGGCUACGUCAGGUGAGUACAGCCCGAAUCCCCUGGGCAACACGCGCGCGUCAAGGGCGAAUACAACGAGAUGCCACUCCGAAAGGAGAAGCUAAUCUCUUAAAGUUCGUCUCAGUCUAGAUCGAGGUUUGUAACUCAGCCUCGUGACACUGGAAUCCGUAGUAAUCGUUUGUCACCAGCGAACGGUGAAUAUGUCACUGUUUCUUGCACACACUGCCCGUCAAACCAACCAAGUUUAGUUAUGGUGAAAUCCUUCGGGAGAGAACCUUGGCUAGACAAGGUAGGUU